UCUUUACCCAUUAUUCUUGGUCCAGAGCCGCACCAUUUGGUGUAUCUGGUUAAAAGGGAACGUGGUGACCUGGCGACGGGAACUCCAUGACUGCCCCCGCAACUGUGAGCGGCGAGCGAAGCUGAAAAUGCCACUGCCGGAUGUCCGGUCGGGAAGGCCAGCCAAGCGUCGACCCGCAAGUCAGGAGACCUGCCAAGAGUGAACACCCGGU
This 211-nucleotide non-coding RNA is filed under the name Roseobacter sp. The record is from RNAcentral. Lineage: Bacteria; Pseudomonadati; Pseudomonadota; Alphaproteobacteria; Rhodobacterales; Roseobacteraceae.